CCGUUCGGUGAGUUUGGAGUACUGAACAAGGGCAUUCAGGCGGAUUACAGUUUAAUCAUGGGGGGUACAAAGUAUGGGUGUACCUGCUAAUCUUGGGGUGCAUCCAGAACUUGGGGAAAACUGUAACCUGUAUAAUGGGAUUAGGUGUUAUACUAAGGGGAGGAGAGGUGUGGGAGGUAACUGCUAUUUCAUUGGGUACUGUAUUAAUGAAUGUGAAUCCCUCCCUUGCAUGGGAGAAAUGCUUAAAAGGAGGCUGUGUGGAAUAAACAUGAGUGCUGCUCCUGAUGCUGUGUGUCGUCCAGUCAUUGGGAUCUGUAUGGGGAUAUUCGUGGAUUGCUUUGCUUAUUGGAAUUAUUGCUUCAUGGGAUUUUUCAUCACUUGUUCCUGAGCCUCACUGGGAUCUUAGUGGAGUUAACCUGUGAAAUACAAGGCCUCCGCUACACUGAU
Molecule: non-coding RNA, 447 nt
Organism: Pelobates cultripes (western spadefoot toad)
Lineage: Eukaryota; Metazoa; Chordata; Amphibia; Anura; Pelobatidae
Source: the annotation of a GenBank genome assembly